UGCCAGCCGCCGCGGUAAUACAGAGGGCUCAAGCGUUAAUCGGUGUCACUGGGCUUAAAGGGUGCGUAGGCGGACCUGUAAGUGUUUUGUGAAAUCCCACGGCUCAACCGUGGAAUUGCUUGGCAUACUGCAGGUCUUGAGGUCGGUAGGGGCUGCCGGAACUCUAGGUGUAGCGGUGAAAUGCGUAGAUAUCUAGAGGAACGCCAAAGGUGAAGACAGGCAGCUGGGCCGAUCCUGACGCUGAGGCACGAAAGCGUGGGUAGCGAACGGGAUUAGAUA
Molecule: ribosomal RNA, 279 nt
Filed under: uncultured bacterium
Lineage: Bacteria
Description: partial 16S ribosomal RNA
Rfam family: Bacterial small subunit ribosomal RNA
Source: RNAcentral